CGCCUGCCGGCGACCGGCGCACGGGUGAGUAACACGUAUGGAACCUGCCCUGUACUGGGGGAUAAGCGGGGGAAACCCCGUCUAAUACCGCGUAACGCGGCCUAGGGACAUCCCAAGGCCGCCAAAGGGAGCAAUCCCGGCCACGGAUGGGCAUGCGGCGCAUUAGCUAGUCGGCGGGGUAACGGCCCACCGAGGCGACGAUGCGUAGGGGUUCUGAGAGGAAGGCCCCCCACACUGGUACUGAGACACGGACCAGACUCCUACGGGAGGCAGCAG
RNAcentral lists this ribosomal RNA (276 nucleotides) under uncultured bacterium. RNAcentral's name for it is "partial 16S ribosomal RNA". It matches the Rfam family "Bacterial small subunit ribosomal RNA", at positions 82 to 354 of the family's 1533-position model. The record is from RNAcentral.